AGGGUUCUUCCCAUGACUGUAAGGUAGUGAUGUUUCCUCUUCCUCCACAGCCCAGGCUUGCAUCCCUCCCUGCGGUAAGGACUUCAUCUAAAACUUGGAAAUUGCGGGGUAAGGGAGGCGGUCGGGGACGAAACGUACGACAUCAAGUGUGGGAAAGCGGGUGGGCUUCACAUCCUUAGGAAGCCAAUAAGAUCCCUGGAGAAAAGGAAGAAAACCAAGUAUUGCUCUAAAUCCUCAGAAGGUGUGUGUGAGAGCCGAAGCAAACCAAUAGGAAUCCUAGAGGGCGGAGAGGAGUGAGAGUCGGCCAAAGACAGCAGGGAGGGCGGGGUCAAGAUGCCACCUGGCCGAUGGACCCCGGGAAGCUGCAUGGAUCUCAAAUGGGCCAAGGGCCCCGGGCUUGGAAGGGCAGGUGGCGCCUAGACCCAGCGUUCCCGCUCCACAGGUCUCCAGGAGUUCGCCCGGCGUUUCCUCUGCAGCGGGUGCUACUCUAGGGUCUGCGACCUCCCGCUGGACUGCCCAGGUGAGGGGGCGGGGCCUCGGGGUGCAGGAGGCCAACCUGAGAAAAGGGACCAGAGCACCGAGGGGCAUAAGCUGGUGGCGAGGCCAGACGUGGUCGGGGCCCAGCGAGUGAACCCUGCUCCGUCUUCAGUUCAGGAUGUGACAGUGACUCGGGGCGACCAGGCUAUGUUUUCUUGCAUCGUAAACUUCCAGCUGCCAAAGGAGGAGAUCACCUAUUCCUGGAAGUUCGCAGGAGGAGCUCCGGACUCAGGACUUGUCCUAUUUCCGAGAUAUGCCGCGGGCCGAAGGAUACCUGGCGCGGAUCCGGCCGGCUCAGCUCACGCACCGCGGGACGUUCUCCUGCGUGAUCAAGCAAGACCAGCGCCCCCUGGCCCGGCUCUACUUCUUUCUUAACGUCCUCGGGGCCCUCGCAUCAGCGAGUGCGACAGUGUUGGCGUGGAUGUUCUUUCGAUGGUACUGCAGUGGCAACUAACAAAGGUAUCUUUCCUCCUUCCCUAUCCUAUUUCCAUCCUGAAAAUAAAGAAUAUAUUUCAACUCUAGAUUGUUUCAUCUCCGAAGGUGGUCACUACUAACUCAGGUAGGAGGAGGUGCAGCAAGCCCACACAUGCCCAGAUGAAUAUGGCCCGCAUAAUGACAGUGAUAGGCAUAGC
This 1169-nucleotide long non-coding RNA is filed under the name Homo sapiens (human). Its description in RNAcentral is "HSALNT0261777". Lineage: Eukaryota; Metazoa; Chordata; Mammalia; Primates; Hominidae. The record is from RNAcentral.